GACCCCGUGAACCUUUACUAUAGCUUGACACUGAACAUUGAGCCUUGAUGUGUAGGAUAGGUGGGAGGCUUUGAAGUGUGGACGCCAGUCUGCAUGGAGCCGGCCUUGAAAUACCACCCUUUAAUGUUUGAUGUUCUAACGUGGACCCGUGAUCCGGGUUGCGGACAGUGUCUGGUGGGUAGUUUGACUGGGGCGGUCUCCUCCUAAAGAGUAACGGAGGAGCACGAAGGUUGGCUAAUCCUGGUCGGACAUCAGGAGGUUAGUGCAAUGGCAUAAGCCAGCUUGACUGCGAGCGUGACGGCGCGAGCAGGUGCGAAAGCAGGUCAUAGUGAUCCGGUGGUUCUGAAUGGAAGGGCCAUCGCUCAACGGAUAAAAGGUACUCCGGGGAUAACAGGCUGAUACCGCCCAAGAGUUCAUAUCGACGGCGGUGUUUGGCACCUCGAUGUCGGCUCAUCACAUCCUGGGGCUGAAGUAGGUCCCAAGGGUAUGGCUGUUCGCCAUUUAAAGUGGUACGCGAGCUGGGUUUAGAACGUCGUGAGACAGUUCGGUCCCUAUCUGCCGUGGGCGCUGGAGAACUGAGGGGGGCUGCUCCUAGUACGAGAGGACCGGAGUGGACGCAUCACUGGUGUUCGGGUUGUCAUGCCAAUGGCACUGCCCGGUAGCUAAAUGCGGAAGAGAUAAGUGCUGAAAGCAUCUAAGCACGAAACUUGCCCCGAGAUGAGUUCUCCCUGAGACUUUAGGUCUCCUGAAGGAACGUUGAAGACGACGACGUUGAUAGGCCGGGUGUGUAAGCGCAGCGAUGCGUUGAGCUAACCGGUACUAAUGAACCGUGAGGCUUAACCUUACA
RNAcentral lists this ribosomal RNA (847 nucleotides) under Salmonella enterica. RNAcentral's name for it is "partial 23S ribosomal RNA". It matches the Rfam family "Bacterial large subunit ribosomal RNA", at positions 2087 to 2925 of the family's 2925-position model. Lineage: Bacteria; Pseudomonadati; Pseudomonadota; Gammaproteobacteria; Enterobacterales; Enterobacteriaceae. The record is from RNAcentral.